UACGAAGGGGGCUAGCGUUUCUCGGAAUUACUGGGCGUAAAGCGCACGUAGGCGGACUGUUAAGUCGGGGGUGAAAUCCUGGAGCUCAACUCCAGAACUGCCUUCGAAACUGAAAGUCUUGAGCAGAGGAGAGGUGAGUGGAAUUGCGAGUGUAGAGGUGAAAUUCGUAGAUAUUCGGAAGAACACCAGUGGCGAAGGCGGCUCGCUGGUCGCUUGCUGACGCUGAGACGAGAAAGCGUGGGGAGCAAACAGG
This 253-nucleotide ribosomal RNA is filed under the name uncultured bacterium. Its description in RNAcentral is "partial 16S ribosomal RNA". It matches the Rfam family "Bacterial small subunit ribosomal RNA", at positions 524 to 776 of the family's 1533-position model. The record is from RNAcentral.